CUGAGAGGAUGACCAGCCACACUGGAACUGAGACACGGUCCAGACUCCUACGGGAGGCAGCAGUGGGGAAUAUUGCACAAUGGGCGCAAGCCUGAUGCAGCCAUGCCGCGUGUAUGAAGAAGGCCUUCGGGUUGUAAAGUACUUUCAGCGGGGAGGAAGGGAGUAAAGUUAAUACCUUUGCUCAUUGACGUUACCCGCAGAAGAAGCACCGGCUAACUCCGUGCCAGCAGCCGCGGUAAUACGGAGGGUGCAAGCGUUAAUCGGAAUUACUGGGCGUAAAGCGCACGCAGGCGGUUUGUUAAGUCAGAUGUGAAAUCCCCGGGCUCAACCUGGGAACUGCAUCUGAUACUGGCAAGCUUGAGUCUCGUAGAGGGGGGUAGAAUUCCAGGUGUAGCGGUGAAAUGCGUAGAGAUCUGGAGG
Molecule: ribosomal RNA, 420 nt
Filed under: Escherichia coli
Lineage: Bacteria; Pseudomonadati; Pseudomonadota; Gammaproteobacteria; Enterobacterales; Enterobacteriaceae
Description: bacterial SSU rRNA
Rfam family: Bacterial small subunit ribosomal RNA
Source: RNAcentral